Molecule: small nuclear RNA, 105 nt
Organism: Myxocyprinus asiaticus (Chinese sucker)
Lineage: Eukaryota; Metazoa; Chordata; Actinopteri; Cypriniformes; Catostomidae
Source: RefSeq, a predicted model, not a curated record
GUGCUUGCUAAGGCAGCACAUAUACUAAAAUUGGAUCGAUACAGAGAAGAUUAGCAUGACCCUUUGAUCUAGUGUGCCUCGUAGUCUUUGUUGUAUCUCAUUCCU